Molecule: long non-coding RNA, 1123 nt
Filed under: Bos indicus x Bos taurus (hybrid cattle)
Lineage: Eukaryota; Metazoa; Chordata; Mammalia; Artiodactyla; Bovidae
Description: lncRNA (ENSBIXG00000030191.1)
Source: RNAcentral
UAGGAGGGAAGGGAUACAAGUGGGUGGCGUGGAGCUGAGACCCACGCAUGACCCCAUAUCUCUGUCUCCAGGCUGUCCCUCCUGCUAGGAUCACACAGGAGCAUCUGCUCUGGAUGGGCCUGCAGCGGUCCUGGCUGUGCUGCUGACUGGUGCACCAGGAGCGGCACUGAGGGGAGCUGGGAGAGGCCCUGGCCCUCACCCCCAUCCCACAUCCACAUCUGCCCCCUCACUGAUUGCUCGCGGUCCUGGUCCUCAGUUCCUGGGACUAAGAACCACAGCAGCCUGGUUGCCCCUGGGACACAGGGGCUGAGCCUCACACCAUGUGCCCUUCUCAGCCACCCAGGGCCCGGCUGAAGAGCUCUGCCUGCCUCACCCCGAGGCCUGAGGCUGCACCCAGGCUACUACAUGCCCCCCGCAGAUUCCCACAGACGGAAGGGUGCUGAUGGCUUCCUCCCUUGUGCCAAGUUGCCUGGAAACCCCUGGUCCUGGUGGCCCCUCCUCCACCCCAACUGUGUCCCUCCAGGACCAUUUCCGGGAGACUGCCAGCCUUUGGACUGCAUCCCUGGAGUUCUGAGAGACUGUGACAUGGGCUGCAGGGGAGGAGAGGAGCGGAGGACCAGGGGCCUCCUUGGGGCUGAUGCGUAAAUGUGCCCUUUUCAAGUUCGGGUCUCACGCUCUGGGUGACUGGAUCCCCAGCCGCAGCCUCUUCCUGGGCCAGCCUGAGAGGACCUGGGGAGGGCACUAGGGAGGGUCUUUACUUAAUAUGUGCGUGCCUGUGUGUGAAUGCGUGUGUGUGAGUGUUUAUGCACACAUGAGUGGCUGUGCGAUGCAGACGGUGCUGAGCUGUUUAGUGGGUGUGCUCUGGGGGACGGGCAUCCUGUCCUCCCCAGGCUCCCAGCUCUGUUGGAGCUGCCUGGGCCCUGGGAGGCCGCUUCCUAAAGUGGAGAAAGUAUGUUGGAGAUUCAGGGGCCCCGGGCUUAGAGACCCAUCAUCACCUGCAGAGAAUCCCCCCUCCCCAUGGGGCUCUGGCUGGGGCUGUCCGCCCCCAAAGGUAUUGGCUGUGGGAGGGGCGGGGACACGUCCUCAGCACGUGCUCCUGCCACUAUUUUUCUUACCAUUUUGA